Molecule: ribosomal RNA, 934 nt
Filed under: Cortinarius subcastanellus
Lineage: Eukaryota; Fungi; Basidiomycota; Agaricomycetes; Agaricales; Cortinariaceae
Also listed under: 1 other name
Description: eukaryotic LSU rRNA
Rfam family: Eukaryotic large subunit ribosomal RNA
Source: RNAcentral
AUAUCAAUAAGCGGAGGAAAAGAAACUAACAAGGAUUCCCCUAGUAACUGCGAGUGAAGCGGGAAAAGCUCAAAUUUAAAAUCUGUCAGCCUUGGCUGUCCGAGUUGUAAUCUAGAGAAGCGUUAUCCGCGCUGGACCGUGUACAAGUCUCCUGGAAUGGAGCGUCAUAGAGGGUGAGAAUCCCGUCUUUGACACGGACUGCCAGGGCUUUGUGAUGCGCUCUCAAAGAGUCGAGUUGUUUGGGAAUGCAGCUCAAAAUGGGUGGUAAAUUCCAUCUAAAGCUAAAUAUUGGCGAGAGACCGAUAGCGAACAAGUACCGUGAGGGAAAGAUGAAAAGAACUUUGGAAAGAGAGUUAAACAGUACGUGAAAUUGCUGAAAGGGAAACGCUUGAAGUCAGUCGCGUUGUCCAGGGAUCAACCUUGCUUUUGCUUGGUGUACUUUCUGGUUGACGGGUCAGCAUCAAUUUUGACUAUUGGAAAAAGGUCAGGGGAAUGUGGCAUCUUCGGAUGUGUUAUAGCCCUUGGUUGCAUACAAUGGUUGGGAUUGAGGAACUCAGCACGCCGCAAGGCCGGGUUUUUAACCACGUACGUGCUUAGGAUGCUGGCAUAAUGGCUUUAAUCGACCCGUCUUGAAACACGGACCAAGGAGUCUAACAUGCCUGCGAGUGUUUGGGUGGAAAACCCGAGCGCGUAAUGAAAGUGAAAGUUGAGAUCCCUGUCGUGGGGAGCAUCGACGCCCGGACCAGACCUUUUGUGACGGUUCCGCGGUAGAGCAUGUAUGUUGGGACCCGAAAGAUGGUGAACUAUGCCUGAAUAGGGUGAAGCCAGAGGAAACUCUGGUGGAGGCUCGUAGCGAUUCUGACGUGCAAAUCGAUCGUCAAAUUUGGGUAUAGGGGCGAAAGACUAAUCGAACCAUCUAGUAGCUGGUUCCUGC